RNAcentral lists this ribosomal RNA (397 nucleotides) under uncultured bacterium. RNAcentral describes it as "partial 16S ribosomal RNA". It matches the Rfam family "Bacterial small subunit ribosomal RNA", at positions 523 to 918 of the family's 1533-position model. The record is from RNAcentral.
AUACGUAGGUGACAAGCGUUAUCCGGAUUUACUGGGCGUAAAGGGCGUGUAGGCGGUCUUGCAAGUCAGAAGUGAAAUUCCUGAGCUCAACUCGGGCGCUGCUUCUGAAACUGCAGGACUUGAGUGCUGGAGGGGAUAGCGGAAUUCCUAGUGGAGCGGUAAAAUGCGCAGAUAUUAGGAAGAACACCGGUGGCGAAGGCGGCGAUCUGGACAGUAACUGGCGCUGAGGCGCGAAAGCGUGGGGAGCAAACAGGAUUAGAUACCCUGGUAGUCCACGCCGCAAACGAUGAAUACUAGGUGUUGGGAGACAAUAGUUUCUCGGUGCCGCAGCAAACGCAAUAAGUAUUCCACCUGGGGAGUACGUUCGCAAGAAUGAAACUCAAAUGAAUUGACGGGG